RNAcentral lists this ribosomal RNA (253 nucleotides) under uncultured bacterium. Its description in RNAcentral is "partial 16S ribosomal RNA". It matches the Rfam family "Bacterial small subunit ribosomal RNA", at positions 524 to 776 of the family's 1533-position model. The record is from RNAcentral.
UACGUAGGGACCAAGCGUUGUCCGGAAUCAUUGGGCGUAAAGAGCGUGUAGGCGGCCUGUUAAGUCUUGUGUGAAAUCUCGGGGCUCAACCCCGAAACUGCACUUGAUACUGCCUCGCUUGAGUACUGGAGAGGAGACUGGAAUUUACGGUGUAGCAGUGAAAUGCGUAGAUAUCGUAAGGAAGACCAGUGGCGAAGGCGAGUCUCUGGACAGUUACUGACGCUGAGGCACGAAGGCCAGGGGAGCAAACGGG